UACAGAGGGUGCGAGCGUUAAUCGGAAUUACUGGGCGUAAAGCGUGCGUAGACGGUUAUUUAAGUCGGAUGUGAAAGCCCCGGGCUCAACCUGGGAAUUGCAUUCGAGACUGAAUAGCUAGGGUACGGUAGAGGGAAGUGGAAUUUCCGGUGUAGCGGUGAAAUGCGUAGAUAUCGGAAGGAACAUCAGUGGCGAAAGCGACUUCCUGGACCAGUACCGACGUUCAGGCACGAAAGCGUGGGGAGCAAACAGG
RNAcentral lists this ribosomal RNA (253 nucleotides) under uncultured bacterium. RNAcentral's name for it is "partial 16S ribosomal RNA". It matches the Rfam family "Bacterial small subunit ribosomal RNA", at positions 524 to 776 of the family's 1533-position model. The record is from RNAcentral. RNAcentral also lists the same sequence under 1 other name.